RNAcentral lists this ribosomal RNA (427 nucleotides) under uncultured bacterium. RNAcentral describes it as "partial 16S ribosomal RNA". It matches the Rfam family "Bacterial small subunit ribosomal RNA", at positions 355 to 774 of the family's 1533-position model. The record is from RNAcentral.
UGGGGAAUAUUGGACAAUGGGCGAAAGCCUGAUCCAGCCAUGCCGCGUGUGUGAAGAAGGUCUUCGGAUUGUAAAGCACUUUAAGUUGGGAGGAAGGGCAUUAACCUAAUACGUUAGUGUUUUGACGUUACCGACAGAAUAAGCACCGGCUAACUCUGUGCCAGCAGCCGCGGUAAUACAGAGGGUGCAAGCGUUAAUCGGAAUUACUGGGCGUAAAGCGCGCGUAGGUGGUUUGUUAAGUUGGAUGUGAAAUCCCUGGGCUCAACCUGGGAACUGCAUUCAAAACUGACUGACUAGAGUAUGGUAGAGGGUGGUGGAAUUUCCUGUGUAGCGGUGAAAUGCGUAGAUAUAGGAAGGAACACCAGUGGCGAAGGCGACCACCUGGACUAAUACUGACACUGAGGUGCGAAAGCGUGGGGAGCAAACA